This 253-nucleotide ribosomal RNA is filed under the name uncultured bacterium. RNAcentral describes it as "partial 16S ribosomal RNA". It matches the Rfam family "Bacterial small subunit ribosomal RNA", at positions 524 to 776 of the family's 1533-position model. The record is from RNAcentral.
UACGUAGGUGGCAAGCGUUGUCCGGAUUUACUGGGCGUAAAGAGCGCGCAGGCGGUCGUUCAAGUCGCGUGUGAAAGCCCCCGGCUCAACUGGGGAGGGUCACGCGAUACUGAUCGACUCGAAGGCAGGAGAGGGAAGUGGAAUUCCCGGUGUAGUGGUGAAAUGCGUAGAUAUCGGGAGGAACACCAGUGGCGAAGGCGACUUCCUGGCCUGUUCUUGACGCUGAGGCGCGAAAGCGUGGGGAGCGAACAGG